UCUAUCUGCACAAAUUUUCCGUUUCACGAAUCUUUAUCCCUUCUUCUCCGUAUUGCUGCGCCAAUCAAACCCACUGAACGGAGGUGCGGCGGAGCUGGACGGAAGAGGCACAAAGUUCCACGAACGGAGACGGAUCCACCACCUCAAACAGAGAACCCCGACGGCAGGUCUGUCACCAGCGUCGAAGACCAGCGGGGGAUCUGGUACGUAGGGGCGGCGGUACCCACGAACAUAAGAGCAGAGACGCACGGUGGAGGACGAGUAUAUCUGUAGAGGCGGCGGUGACCGGUAAACAGUAGGUUUCGCGGCAGAAAAAUUUGUUUUUCUCUAGCCUCUGAUACCAUGUUCAAUUCUGUAUAUUGUUGAAGAUAAUUGUCUGUUUACAAAGGAUAUUACAAGAGUGUAUAUAUCACAUAAAGGAGACUACAGGAAAGAAGAGUAUAAAUUAGCCGAAAAAGAAAAAUUCUAAUUGGCUAAUUAAUAGCCAACAGUAUGGUAAUAGACUUGAUAAGAGCAUACCCAUGAGCCUAUUCUUUUCGAGGCUUAUGGAAUGGCGGGGAAUGGAUUGGUUAAACAUCUUAGGGGUGAACUUCCAUUUCUUGAUUCAUCGCCUUUUUCCAAGCUCUUGAACCAGUGUGCUCGCUUGAAGUCGGUUAGAGACACGAGUCGUGUUCAUGCUCGCAUAAUUAAAUCGCCCUUUGCCUCCGAAACUUUUAUCCAAAAUAGGCUCAUUGAUGUAUAUGGGAAAUGUGGAUGUGUGGAUGUUGCUCGCAAGUUGUUUGAUAGAUUGCUUGAGAGAAAUAUUUUCUCUUGGAACUCCAUCAUUUGUGCAUUCACUAAGUCUGGAUUUCUUGAUGAUGCUGUCCACAUCUUUGAGAAGAUGCCUCAAGUUGACCAAUGCUCGUGGAAUUCUAUGAUUUCGGGUUUUGAACAACAUGAUUGCUUUGGUGAAGCUUUAAUUUAUUUUACUCAAAUGCAUGGUCAGGGUUUUGUCAUGAAUGAAUAUUCAUUUGGUAGUGCUCUCAGUGCUUGUGCAGGUUUACAAGAUUUGAAACUAGGUUCCCAAAUCCAUAGUUUAAUAUAUAGGUCAAAUUAUUUAUCAGAUGUGUAUAUGGGCUCUGCUCUAGUAGAUAUGUACUCUAAAUGUGGAAGAGUUGACUAUGCUCAAAGUGUUUUUGAUGAAAUGACUGUGAGAAGUAGAGUUUCUUGGAAUAGCUUGAUUACGUGUUAUGAACAGAAUGGUCCAGUUGAUGAGGCUCUUAAGAUUUUUGUUGAGAUGAUCGAAUGUGGGGUUGAACCUGAUGAGGUAACUCUUGCAAGUGUUGUUAGUGCAUGUGCAACUAUCUCGGCAAUCAAAGAAGGUCAACAGAUUCAUGCUCGAGUUGUGAAAUGUGAUGAAUUUAGAAAUGAUCUUAUUUUAGGCAACGCAUUGCUUGAUAUGUAUGCUAAAUGUAAUAGGAUUAGCGAGGCUAGAAUAGUUUUCGAUCUAAUGCCAAUUAGGAGUGUGGUGUCUGAAACCUCAAUGGUAAGUGGGUAUGCAAAAGCAUCUAGAGUUAAAGUUGCAAGAUAUAUGUUCUCAAAUAUGAUGGUGAAAGAUGUAAUUACUUGGAAUGCGCUUAUUGCAGGGUGUACACAAAAUGGAGAGAAUGAAGAGGCACUUAUACUCUUCCGUCUUUUGAAAAGGGAGUCUGUUUGGCCUACACACUACACAUUUGGCAAUCUCCUCAAUGCUUGUGCAAACCUUGCUGAUUUACAGCUUGGCCGACAGGCUCACUCUCAUGUUUUAAAGCAUGGAUUUCGAUUCCGGUAUGGAGAAGAGUCAGAUGUUUUUGUUGGGAAUUCUCUAAUAGAUAUGUAUAUGAAAUGUGGAUCAGUUGAGAAUGGUUGUAGGGUGUUUGAACAUAUGUUGGAAAGGGAUUGCGUCUCAUGGAAUGCUAUGAUAGUUGGAUAUGCACAAAAUGGUUUUGGCAAUAAGGCCCUUGAAGUUUUCAGUAAAAUGUUAGAAUCAGGAGAGAAACCAGAUCAUGUAACAAUGAUUGGUGUUCUUUGCGCUUGUAGUCAUGCCGGACUGCUUGAUGAAGGUCGUUAUUACUUUCGAUCAAUGAGUGCACAACAUGGUUUGGUGCCAUUAAAAGACCAUUAUACAUGUAUGGUUGAUUUACUUGGCCGAGCUGGCUACCUUGAAGAAGCAAAAAAUCUAAUAGAGGAAAUGUCAAUGCAGCCUGAUGCUAUCGUCUGGGGAUCCUUGCUUGCCGCUUGUAAAGUCCAUCGGGACAUCAAAUUGGGGGAGUAUGUAGUAGAGAAACUUUUAGAGGUAGAUCCUGAGAAUUCUGGGCCAUAUGUUCUUCUCUCUAAUAUGUAUGCUGAACGUAGAGAUUGGAAGAAUGUUGUGAGGAUAAGAAAGCUGAUGAGACUGAGGGGAGUGAUUAAACAACCGGGUUGCAGUUGGAUUGAAAUUCAGGGUCAGUUGAAUGUUUUCAUGGUUAAAGAUAAAAGGCAUGCAAGGAAGAAAGAAAUCUACAUGCUUUUGAGAACACUCUUACAACAGAUGAAACAAGCAGGAUAUGUCCCGUAUGUUGGCAGUAAUGAGAUUGAUGAAGAACAAUAGAAAGAACAUGACAUAACCUCAUCUUAUCAAAUGGAAAUGCUAAACCCAGAAGAUUGAAGGUGCAGAGAAGUGUGCCCAUUUGGCAUGUAUGUUCAAGAAUUUGGGUCUGAGUGUCAGUUUCCUAAUCAGCAUUAUGUUUCUCUCUCAUACCUUGACUCAACGAAGUAUUUUAGACCUGAGAUUAAGACGUACACUGGAGAGGCUCUCCUUUUGUUUACCAUGAAAUUUUGGUGGUCAGUUUUAUUAUUUCAAAUAGUCUUAUCUAAACAAGUAUUAUUUCACAUACCUGUGAGUGAUUUUAGUCAUGUUCUUUGCUAUCGAGUUAUCUACAAGGAGCUAUUGUAUUUUAUCCCUAUUUUUUCCCCUUUCAGAUAGGAUACUUGAAUAUUGCAAGAAACAGGGCUUCACAAGCUGCUAUAUAUGGGCUUGUCCUCCAUUGAAGGGUGAAGUUUCUAAAUCUUUUAUUAUACUCACCCAGAAAUCCUGAAAAUGCCAAAAUCUGAUAAACAUUUAUGGAUGCUAUGACUAUUUUCUCACGACCUUACUUGAAGAGGGUAUUUAUCAAUGUUGAAAAAAGCUGUCAAGGCAGGCUAUUUUGAUGCACUUGAAUCUCAAUAGAGACAAAACUACUUUAAAGUGAGGGAAUGAAGUCUCUACCUCCUUUUGACACGAUGGUUGGCUUAGUGAUAAUCCUCUCUCCGAACUUUUUCUCCGGAUCUACUCAUUAGCCAUACAAAAAUUUUCUACUAUUCUUGAGUUAUGGAACGAAGAACAUGGAUGGACUAUUACUUACGGAAGGAACUUUACUGAAGAGGAGAUUGAAGAAUAACUUGCUCUUAUGGAAUAGCCUUGUUGAAACUAGGGGCGCCUUUUCUCUAGUCACUGUCUCUUGAUAUGUGAAUCGACCUGUCUGCCCCUUUACAUCCUUGCCAUGAAGCAAUUUGGUCCGAUUUUUAUCCAAAAAUUGAUAAAAUUCUUCCUUGCCACAAUGCCAGUAGUACUGUGCUUCCCUCACAUGGCUCUUUCCGUUCAUUGUUGUGUCAUCUAUCAUGUCGCCUUUGAGACAUCGAGACGCCUUUUCAUCGAGUGUCUUUGCAAAGCAUAUUGGCCUUCUUGGAUACACUCAUUGGCCAAUCCAUUCAUUGUGGAGAAGAGGAUUCUCUAGAUGAAUCCGGUCAGAGCUACCUUAUGUUGGAAGGAAAGGAACAAUAUUCUUUUCAAUGAAAAGGGAAGAUCUUUCUUCAACUUUUUUGAACAUAUCCUACCUAGAUUUGCCUAUGACUUUCUUUAGUUCUUUUAAUCAUACAUCUCUUUUACCCUUCCUUUAUAAAUUUCAUACUAGAAUGAAAUUUGUUUCUUAAAAGAAA
RNA transcript from Benincasa hispida (wax gourd), 3975 nucleotides. It is a transcript of the gene named Pentatricopeptide repeat (PPR) superfamily protein, with no coding region annotated. NCBI's taxonomy places the organism in Eukaryota, Viridiplantae, Streptophyta, Magnoliopsida, Cucurbitales, Cucurbitaceae. The record is from RefSeq and is a predicted model, not a curated record.